CCUCUAGCCUUUGCUAGUUGGCGGGGUGAAGCCUCUAGCCUUUGCUAGUUGGCGGGGUGAAGCCUCUAGCCUUUGCUAGUUGGCGGGGAGAAUGGAAAUCACCGCUAUCUUGUGAUAGCCUUGGGUUAAUCUUAGUUUUAACAUAAUUUUAAGUCUUAACUUGCAUGCAAUUUACUUAAUAGGUGACACUUCCCCAUCGGUAGGGGAAAUGCACAAGGUAUUUUGCAUCAAAGAGGGUGUAUCACCCUUGGAGAUGCUGGGAAGUGGAGAUAUUCUUGAGAAAUUCAAGAGUUUUUUACUUCUCUACUCUACUAAGUAUCUUUAAGAGUGAGAGACUCUCAUAGAUACUGUAGAGUACAACAUUCACGCCUGGCGGUCCUUAGUUUAGUGAUAAGUUCAAUCUAUGAUUAGCAACUAUUUAUCAUCAUUUUUUGAUACUUUAAAAUUAGAGAUAUUCUUGAGAAAUUCAAGGGUUCUCUAAUGAGUAUCAUUGAGAGUAAGAAACUCUUAUUGAUACUGUCUUGUACAAACAUACACUCCUGUUGAUUCAGGUAUUCUCUUAGUUCAGUCCAAGUUAAGAUUUGUAACUGUUUAUCUACAUUAUAUAAAAUUGCUUUGUUUUGUAAGUGCUUUACAAGUUUGUUGCAGCUUAGCCUACCAAAUGAAUCCAAGUGCACCAUUGUAGAUAUUUUUUAAAAGCAGGAUUGAUGAACAACUAAACAAACAAUAUUGUGGAGAUACAUGUGAAUUAUAAUGGAGAUGCCACCAGCUAUUCAAUGCAUUGGAGAGCAGCUCUACUACCAAAGUGGAGAUGUGGAUCACUGGAUGUGGUAUGAGAUAUCUGGUAACCAUAUUAUCAGUAGUCUAGACAGGUUAGAAUUCUCUAACACUUCCCUAUUCUAACACAGAUAUCAAGCUAGGGCCGGGAUGUUUAUGGUGGUUACUAUUAUGACACAGUUCAUCCCGACCCUUCGGCAGUGCCAUGUUCUAUCCGGUUGGUUCUGAGUCCAAUGGGUGCUUUCAAGUUAGAGUCAACUGACCUGCAGAUCGCAUUUCCGCGUGCCAACAACUGGACGAACAUGUGCUACUGUUAGAUUGUGGUUUAUGGAUGGCUGUGGAGUAAGAAAAUCACCUUGAAUAGGGUUUGAGUUGUCAGGGUCCCUGUAGGAUAUUUGCAGUUGUCAGUCGACUAUUACAUUUCUGAUCAGUGCCCUUUGUGGUGGUGCCACAGCUUUUUCAUGAUGGUUGCGGGCUCAGUACAGCACUAAUUUGAUGAGCAGGUGGUACUGUUACACUGUGGCCUGGUCUGACUUGUUCUAUGAGACUGGCGAUGCAAAUAUUAGAUUGUAGUGCCUUCAGCAAACUUAGGGAUGGGGGUGUGAGAAUUAUCUGUCUUAAGAAUUAGAAUUAAGAAAAAUACGUUUAUAUCUGAGGCUGGAGUGAUAUUAAGUAUAGUCUCUAGCCUUUGCUAGUUGGCGGGGUGAAGCCUCUAGCCUUUGCUAGUUGGCGGGGAAGG
Molecule: long non-coding RNA, 1516 nt
Filed under: Nilaparvata lugens (brown planthopper)
Lineage: Eukaryota; Metazoa; Arthropoda; Insecta; Hemiptera; Delphacidae
Description: uncharacterized LOC120353978, transcript variant X1
Source: RNAcentral